Molecule: non-coding RNA, 190 nt
Organism: Podarcis lilfordi (Lilford's wall lizard)
Lineage: Eukaryota; Metazoa; Chordata; Lepidosauria; Squamata; Lacertidae
Source: the annotation of a GenBank genome assembly
UUCUCGAUGUUUAGUUGAAAUCUCCUUUCUUGCGACUUGAAUCCAUUGGUUCAGGCCCUACUGUCCGGUGCAGGAGAAAGCAAGCUUGUUCCAUCUUCCACAUGACAACCCUUGGGAUAUUUGAAGAUGGCUAUCAUAUCUUCUCUCAGACUCCUCUUUUUUCCAGGCUAAACAUACCCAGUUCCCUCAA